GCCGCCUUAGCUCAGCUGGUUAGAGCAUCUGUCUUGUAAACAGAAGGUCGUCGGUUCGAAUCCGACAGGCGGCUCC
Molecule: transfer RNA, 76 nt
Filed under: Streptomyces albus
Lineage: Bacteria; Bacillati; Actinomycetota; Actinomycetes; Kitasatosporales; Streptomycetaceae
Also listed under: 3 other names
Description: tRNA-Thr
Rfam family: tRNA
About the family: Transfer RNA (tRNA) molecules are approximately 80 nucleotides in length.
Source: RNAcentral